RNAcentral lists this ribosomal RNA (411 nucleotides) under uncultured bacterium. Its description in RNAcentral is "bacterial SSU rRNA". It matches the Rfam family "Bacterial small subunit ribosomal RNA", at positions 28 to 436 of the family's 1533-position model. The record is from RNAcentral.
GACGAACGCUGGCGGCGUGCCUAACACAUGCAAGUCGAGCGAUGAAGUUUCCUUCGGGAAACGGAUUAGCGGCGGACGGGUGAGUAACACGUGGGUAACCUGCCUUGUAGAGGGGGAUAGCCUUCCGAAAGGAAGAUUAAUACCGCAUAAGACUGUAGUUUCGCAUGAAAUAGCAAUUAAAGGAGCAAUCCGCUACAAGAUGGACCCGCGGCGCAUUAGCUAGUUGGUGAGGUAAGGGCUCACCAAGGCGACGAUGCGUAGCCGACCUGAGAGGGUGAUCGGCCACAUUGGGACUGAGACACGGCCCAGACUCCUACGGGAGGCAGCAGUGGGGAAUAUUGCACAAUGGGGGAAACCCUGAUGCAGCAACGCCGCGUGAGUGAUGACGGUCUUCGGAUUGUAAAGCUCUGU